This 576-nucleotide ribosomal RNA is filed under the name uncultured bacterium. RNAcentral's name for it is "partial 16S ribosomal RNA". It matches the Rfam family "Bacterial small subunit ribosomal RNA", at positions 355 to 923 of the family's 1533-position model. The record is from RNAcentral.
UGGGGAAUUUUGGACAAUGGGCGAAAGCCUGAUCCAGCAAUGCCGCGUGUGUGAAGAAGGCCUUCGGGUUGUAAAGCACUUUUGUCCGGAAAGAAAUCCUUGGCUCUAAUACAGUCGGGGGAUGACGGUACCGGAAGAAUAAGCACCGGCUAACUACGUGCCAGCAGCCGCGGUAAUACGUAGGGUGCAAGUGUUAAUCGGAAUUACUGGGCGUAAAGCGUGCGCAGGCGGUUUGCUAAGACCGAUGUGAAAUCCCCGGGCUCAACCUGGGGACUGCAUUGGUGACUGGCAGGCUAGAGUAUGGCAGAGGGGGGUAGAAUUCCACGUGUAGCAGUGAAAUGCGUAGAGAUGUGGAGGAAUACCGAUGGCGAAGGCAGCCCCCUGGGCCAAUACUGACGCUCAUGCACGAAAGCGUGGGGAGCAAACAGGAUUAGAUACCCUGGUAGUCCACGCCCUAAAACGAUGUCAACUAGUUGUUGGGGAUUCAUUUCCUUAGUAACGUAGCUAACGCGUGAAGUUGACCGCCUGGGGAGUACGGUCGCAAGAUUAAAACUCAAAUGAAUUGACGGGGUCAUA